CUACCCUUGACAUGUCCGGAACCCUGCUGAGAGGUGGGGGUGCCCGAAAGGGCAUCGGAACACAGGUGCUGCAUGGCUGUCGUCAGCUCGUGUCGUGAGAUGUUGGGUUAAGUCCCGCAACGAGCGCAACCCUUGUCCCUAGUUGCUACGCAAGGGCACUCUAGGGGGACUGCCACGGAUAACGUGGAGGAAGGUGAGGAUGACGUCAAGUCCUCAUGGCCUUUAUGUCCAGGGCUACACACGUGCUACAAUGGCCAGUACAAUCCGUCGCCAACUCGCGAGAGGGAGCCAAUCGGACAAAGCUGGCCUCAGUUCGGAUUGCAGUCUGCAACUCGGCUGCAUGAAGCUGGAAUCGCUAGUAAUGGCAGAUCAGCAUGCUGCCGUGAAUACGUUCCC
This 396-nucleotide ribosomal RNA is filed under the name uncultured bacterium. RNAcentral describes it as "bacterial SSU rRNA". It matches the Rfam family "Bacterial small subunit ribosomal RNA", at positions 975 to 1375 of the family's 1533-position model. The record is from RNAcentral.